This 433-nucleotide long non-coding RNA is filed under the name Gossypium barbadense (sea-island cotton). Its description in RNAcentral is "long non-coding RNA (GBAR_LNC012026)". Lineage: Eukaryota; Viridiplantae; Streptophyta; Magnoliopsida; Malvales; Malvaceae. The record is from RNAcentral.
AAGUAAGCAAGCAACAGCACCGAGGGCGGAUGGGAGGAAAGAGUAAGCAGGAAGGUUGAGAUCGGAGGCCACUUCGAAUGCUGCGCUGGUGCAGAAGAAGUCAACGAUAAUGGCGUUGAGUGUGUAGUUAUUGGAGAUGGUGAGAAGGGUGCGGCGGACAUCGGGGUUACUGAGGCGGAUGACGUCGAAGAGAAGGGGAUCUAAGCCAGUUGAGGUUAGAAGGAGGUCGACGGUGGGGAGGUAGUGGAAGGUGAUGGAAGGAGGAACGGGGGAGGGGACGGUGGAGGAAGGUUGUGAAGGAAGGGUGGCGAUGAGGAUGUGGAUAGAAAGGGAAGGGUGGUGAGUGAGGAGGAGCUUGGCGAACUCUACCAUGGGUGCCAGGUGAGUAAGCAUAGGUGCUGGGUACAUAACUAUGGCUUCCUCCAUUAGUGAU